UAACCGCUGGCAGGACGUGCAGCCUGCGAAUGUUG
Molecule: non-coding RNA, 35 nt
Filed under: unclassified sequences
Description: L19-Flavobacteria ribosomal protein leader
Rfam family: L19-Flavobacteria ribosomal protein leader
Source: RNAcentral